This 1758-nucleotide long non-coding RNA is filed under the name Calidris pygmaea (Spoon-billed sandpiper). RNAcentral's name for it is "lncRNA (ENSCPGG00000018747.1)". The record is from RNAcentral. Lineage: Eukaryota; Metazoa; Chordata; Aves; Charadriiformes; Scolopacidae.
AUGGUUAAAAGAAGUUUACUAGGCAGAGUAUUUACCCUUUGUUUGGUAUAUGUCCCUAAUAUUAAGCAAGACACCUUCCUUGAUGGUUUUAUUUUUGUCUUGCCGCCUUCAGAAAAUCUCACUACUGAGAGAGAUUUAAACCUUACCUUAAAUUUUCCAGUUGAUGUUUCAGAUACUAGAGGUCAGGAAUUUUAUUCAUCAGGUCCAUUCCUGACACAAAAUAUCCAGCCAGGUGUCUCAGCUGAAAAAGUGCUGCUCUCUCUAAAAAUUUAUUUGUUUUACGCACAUAACCAUUUGUUGAUCACACCAGUGUAUUAUUUAUCAUUUUCUGGUUCCUCACAGGAUUCUCUUCCUCAGACAAAUAGAGGCCAAAUGACAUGGUCUGUCUCUCUUUCUGCCUUGACAACACAACCAGACUGUCUUGUUAGUCAAGGGCAUAGAAAACGUGAACUGAACAAUUUUCUUUUCAACUCAUUUCUAGCACUGGAGGUUGACACCAGCAAAAAUCAGAUAUGUUUCUAUCAUGGCACAUUACCUAGCAGCUCUUCAUAUGGGAUUUAUAAGGUUGUACUGAAGAGAAAAUUAAUUGAGAAAAGUUCAGGAAUUGAAAGGGGAGAAAAUGCAGCACCCAGAUUUCUUAUCUCUGAAAUAAAAUAUUUUGAGGUGUAUAAAAAUGUAGGUGCAAAGAAAAUGUUGAAUAAGCUUCUAUUCCUAGGAUGUCUACUACAUGCUCUAGUGUUAGAAAAAAUAGCGUGUAUUUUACAUCAGUGUAGAAAAAUUUCCAGCAAGACAGAGAAGAAAAGGCAUGCUGUUACAAUGUAUAAGGUAAGAAGUCAAAGAGAAAAACAUAUUAUAAUAGCUACUAAGGAACAAACCAGAAAAAUGCAUUACCUUCUGAGGACUCACGUCAGAGAAGUUAGAGUUCAAGUUAACACUCAGCAUCUGAAGGGAGAAUCUGAGGCCACCAAAUCAAGUAGAGGAUCUGAUCCAGAGAAGCUCCUGAUCAAGUUAUAUGAAGCACUAAAAGAUCACCUUCUCCUCCCAUUAACUGACCUUAUAUGUUAUUUUCUGGACUUCAAACCUUUAGCAGAUACUCUGAAGGAAGCUGGUAAUAUUGUUUUAAAGGCUAGGAAAGAGAAAGGUGAUUUUUCAUCAGAUAGGGACACGCCCCUGUUACAUAUAGAGUGUAGGACACACGUAGCAGUACUGACAGCUGCAUUAGAAUCAGCAUUACCUAAAGUACUUGUCAUAGCCUCAGUGAAAAUUGGUCAGAGACAACUGCUUUUAGAUAACUGCCAGAUAUUAAUCACGAGACAUUCAGACUUUAACGUUAAGUUUGGUAUACUAUUUUCAUUGAGAAAGGAAAUAUUAAUAGAAGAUGUAAGAAAUAAAUGGACUGAAGUUGUACUCUAUAAACCCUUAGAACCCUCCCAGCUUUCUAGACAGAUAGGGAAUAGUAAUUCACUGUUACCAAUAUUGUUUGCAUUAUUAAGGAAACAAUUUGUACAAAAAGUGAGGAUGAAUAAACUAGAACCACCUUUAAAUGCAAACAAGUUGAUUUACGAAACAACGUUAUCUUUGAAGGAAAUCCUAUUAGCAAUUCAGAGUGCUUCAAACCCACUGCAUUUGAGAACAUUUCGGCUUCUAAAAUUAAUUAUUUCAGUUCACAAGCUUUGUGAAUUUCAUGUUCAGGUCAAAAUGAGAUCAGGCUACAAAUUCAUUUUAAGGUGGUCAAACGCCACAGAAAGUAUUGGGUAG